CUUGGUGCCUUGCCGGCCUCAGCUUCUCCUCCCAGGACUCAGCGUUGCGUUGCGGGGCCUCCCUCCCUCUGCGCCUCCUGGAAGCCUGUCCCGCCAGCCCCGAGGCCAGGUCAGACGCUCUGUGGAGAGCCGUCAUCCAGGAUCCCCACCUCUCCUCCCGGAAACUCUCCCUCCCCUCUGCUCUCCACCUGCCGGCCUCAGUGGCUGGAAGCCCCCUCCAUUCCGAUGAAGGCUGCCCCCCCACACCCCCGAUGCCUCAUUCCUCCUCCACCGUCAGCACCUCCAGAGCACUGACUCCGACUGCUCCGUGGGGUAGAGGCCCUGCUCGCUCACUCGUCAUUCAUUUGUUCACUGGGUCUUCAUUCAACAAACAUCAAUCAGGCACCCACAGGUGCCGGGCAGCGUCUUGGUGCUGGGGAUACAGCAUGAACAAAACAGAGAAGUUCCCCGGCUGGGUGAGCUCCAUUCCAGUGGGCGCAGACCCACACAAAAGCACUAGGUGGUCCGCCCACGGCUGGGUUCUCAGCGCUCCUCAUUGGCUGGCUCCGGUCCUGCGUCCUGGCCUUCGCUUCUCCCUCCCCACCGCUGUCGCCACGAGUUCCCUGCCCGCUCCCCUGUCCACUGUGGAAUUCUUACACUGUCACCAAGGCCCUGAGGGAGGUGGUGGGGAUAAAAUGAUGACCAAGACGUGGCCCUGCCCUGGGGGCCCACAGUGCGGGACCACGCGGUUCCUGGUUAUAUUGUCUGCGUUUAUUCAAUGAACAAAUGAGUGAGUCAGUGAAUGAG
RNAcentral lists this long non-coding RNA (786 nucleotides) under Equus caballus (horse). Its description in RNAcentral is "lncRNA (ENSECAG00000056764.1)". Lineage: Eukaryota; Metazoa; Chordata; Mammalia; Perissodactyla; Equidae. The record is from RNAcentral.